UACAGAGACUGCAAGCGUUAUUCGGAUUCACUGGGCGUAAAGGGUGCGCAGGCGGUCGGGUGUGUCAGAUGUGAAAUCCCGAGGCUCAACCUCGGAACUGCGUCUGAAACUACUCGACUAGAGUACUGGAGAGGGUAACGGAAUUCACGGUGUAGCAGUGAAAUGCGUAGAUAUCGUGAGGAACACCAGAGGCGAAGGCGGUUACCUGGACAGUUACUGACGCUCAGGCACGAAAGCAUGGGGGAGCAAAAGGG
RNAcentral lists this ribosomal RNA (254 nucleotides) under uncultured bacterium. Its description in RNAcentral is "partial 16S ribosomal RNA". It matches the Rfam family "Bacterial small subunit ribosomal RNA", at positions 524 to 776 of the family's 1533-position model. The record is from RNAcentral.